UCUACUUUCCAAACGGAGGCCGAAGAAAAAGGAAAGGAAAGUGAGGUGGAAUGAGCGUGGCAAACGGCGGAGAAGUAGGGUAGGCGGCAGAGGGGGGCGGAGGAGAAGUGAGGAACAGAGCGGCGAGGCUGCCUCGAUGGAGUAGGCAAGAGAUUCUGGUGUUAAUUCAACGGAAGAGAGUGGCGGAGAGCAAUUUGGAAGGAGACUACAAGAAGAUCAAAGAAUGGGAAUCGCAGAUAACAAGGGAAGACACGACGGAGUCCUUUUGGGUGAUAGGGAACGAUUCGAGAAGAGAUAGGUAGUUGCCCGGAUUUUUUGACAGAGAGGUCUACGAUAUUCUCGACAAUGGGACCACCCUCUUCUUCUGUUACUUCCACGCCCCUGCUUCUCCCUCUUGCUCCACCAUCUUAGCCUCAGCCUCAGGACGAGGAUGAUCAUCUUCUUAAUAAUAAUAAUAAGGAGGAGGAGGAGGAGGAGGAGGACGACGAGGCUGUGUUUGACAAUGGCCGGAAUAGCUUGUUUUCGAAUUUUGCUCAGUCGGCUCAAGAGGAGGCUGCUGGCAGCCCCGAAAAGGAGUUCACCAAGACUCCACCUGCUCCUGCUCCUGUUCCAAUUCCAAUUUUGGAAACAAUACUGUGGGGGAAGUAGUUCUGGAAAUAUUCUUUGGAUCUAAUGGGGUACUCGAGAUCCUCAACUAGUAACCUGAAAAUGAAUGAACACUCCGGUCGGGUAUCGGAAUCAGCACUCCAACGGAUAAGUCGGAUAAGAUUAAUGCUGAAUAAAAGUUACGUUCCUGACUGAUCUCAUACCUACAUCCGACACUAUCGACCUCCAAUUAUUCGGCUCCCACAAAUACCAACCAUUUUCUCAACGUAAUGUUAUUCUGACUAAAUUGUAGAAACUUUAUAUGCAAGUGUCAAGCUUUUAUAUUUGUUUCCUCCUCUGUUCGUUAUUUAAAAAACCAUAUUCAUUGGUAUAGUUUAUGUUAGAUAUGGUGCUUGCUUUGGAUGAUUUGGGACAACACUUUUUAAUUGGCUCACAAUUCCAAGUAUAUUUGUUGCUGCUUCGAUUGUGUUAAUGAACUUGUACAUUAAGAAAACAGAAAAACCAUCUUAGUGGUUCAUGUAUCGCAAACACGCACUGCAUUAGUAGUAAUUUAGAGGUGUCAAAAAUACAGUUCUAGUCCAUCGUUGUCAUGCCAACGUUUUCUUGAUUGAUUUUUUAAUAAUGCAAACCGGGAUGAGUCAAUAAGGCAUUAUAAGAGUGACUAUUUCUCAUUUUUGGUGGUUCUAAUUUGACAUGGGGUUCCCUUUCUAGUAACAUUUCCACAUCAGGCUAUAGAAUUGUAGCAAGUGGAAGUUUUUUGUUCAACUUGGAUUGAUAUGCUUUUUGGUUGACGGUACUCUCAAACUAGUUUCUUAAGAAUGAUCCUAUAGUGACCAAAAGUGUUGUUUAACACCUUCACUGGCUCAUCCCUCAUUCAAAUUUGUCAAUUUUGAGUGUUUUCCAUGUGUAUAGAGGAAAUUCGGUCAAAGCCUGGCUGAUAGAAUUUUGAUGUACCUUCCUAUGUGCAUCUUUUGUCUAGCUCGCUCAAUGUUAGACCACGAUUAUCCAAAUGGAGUCUGACUAGGGUAUAUUUGGUGUGGAGUCUUUUUCGAUCAUAGGAUUUGUCACAACUUAUUGUACCACAGGUAGGAAUUAUAACAGUUGGAUAAUGGUUUGCAAAUAAUUUUGGUUCGAUCAGGUCAAUUUUCAGUAUCAAUAUAUCCAAAUGUAGGACCCCACUUCCUUAUCUUCAUGAAUUUGGUCAUUUGGGUAAUCUGUAUGGCCCUGGCAAAGGUAUAACCAUCUUAUUUAUUCAUUUUGUCAAAGUCAGGUUCUUUGUCUAGUUUAACACAUCAAUUUUCAGCCCUACUCAAGCACAGAUCUUAACUAGUGCUAAAUUGUUUUGGUUAUUGAUAGCUUCUAUCUGAAAUUAUCGAAAUGUUUAAAAGAAAUAAAUAAAGGAAUAGCUGAAAAUAUAAGUGCACACGAUCAUGGUACCUUUUCUAUUUCUUUAUGUCUCCUCUAUGGGAAGAGGGGAUGAUAAGUGGCGUGGUAUACCUGAUCUUUUACUCAACAAAACAUAUGCAAGUUGACAAAACUCCAUGUAUAUACUCUUUGCAACUAAAUAGAAUGAAAUGAAAUAUUGGUAAGCCGAGGGUGCACUAAAAUUAUAAUUUGGAGUUUCAUCAAAAUAUAAUACCUUAUUUUCUGUGCCAGAAAAAUGUACUUUAUAGUUUAUAUAAUGUGGAGUCGUGGUUUUGUUGCGCGCUGGGCUAAGCUUUUGUUC
Camellia sinensis is the source of this 2332-nucleotide non-coding RNA. Lineage: Eukaryota; Viridiplantae; Streptophyta; Magnoliopsida; Ericales; Theaceae. The record is from RefSeq and is a predicted model, not a curated record.